AUGCUUGAUGGCUUCUCUUCCUAUAAGCCUAUAGAAGCGGCAAGUCUCUUUGCCCAACAUUUUUAUUUAUCCGAGCAUGGUUUUUAUUUUCUGGUCAGUCGUUUAACAUAUCGGAGCAGAUCUGGAGGCGCGAUCGAAUUGGUGAGCUCCCAUGCUCCACAACCGGAGACCCACAUGCGGGACGGCAAUCCUGGUUUUGUUGAGGGCCCUCAAGUGGCCCUUAUCUUCAAAGAUGGGGUUUUUAUCAGGGAGAUGUUGAUGGUGGCAAGGUGGCCAUCAUUGUUGAUCGUUUUGGGGGCUCCACCUUCGUCUACUAAUGUGGUUGCUGCCCCUCGCCCUUCUACAGGAAAUGCAUGA
This 357-nucleotide ribosomal RNA is filed under the name Triticum aestivum (bread wheat). Its description in RNAcentral is "partial small subunit ribosomal RNA". Lineage: Eukaryota; Viridiplantae; Streptophyta; Magnoliopsida; Poales; Poaceae. The record is from RNAcentral.